GUGGGGAAUUUUGGACAAUGGGCGAAAGCCUGAUCCAGCCAUGCCGCGUGCAGGAUGAAGGCCUUCGGGUUGUAAACUGCUUUUGUACGGAACGAAAAGACUCCUUCUAAUAAAGGGGGUCCAUGACGGUACCGUAAGAAUAAGCACCGGCUAACUACGUGCCAGCAGCCGCGGUAAUACGUAGGGUGCAAGCGUUAAUCGGAAUUACUGGGCGUAAAGCGUGCGCAGGCGGUUAUAUAAGACAGAUGUGAAAUCCCCGGGCUCAACCUGGGAACUGCAUUUGUGACUGUAUAGCUAGAGUACGGUAGAGGGGGAUGGAAUUCCGCGUGUAGCAGUGAAAUGCGUAGAUAUGCGGAGGAACACCGAUGGCGAAGGCAAUCCCCUAGACCUGUACUGACGCUCAUGCACGAAAGCGUGGGGAGCAAACAGGAUUAGAAACCCUUGUAGUCC
RNAcentral lists this ribosomal RNA (450 nucleotides) under uncultured bacterium. RNAcentral describes it as "partial 16S ribosomal RNA". It matches the Rfam family "Bacterial small subunit ribosomal RNA", at positions 354 to 796 of the family's 1533-position model. The record is from RNAcentral.